UAAGAACUAACAGGAUUCCCCUAGUAGCGGCGAGCGAAGCGGGAAGAGCUCAAAUUUAUAAUCUGGCACCUUCGGUGUCCGAGUUGUAAUCUCUAGAAGUGUUUUCCGCGUUGGACCGCACACAAGUCUGUUGGAAUACAGCGGCAUAGUGGUGAAACCCCCGUAUAUGGUGCGGACGCCCAGCGCUUUGUGAUACACUUUCAAUGAGUCGAGUUGUUUGGGAAUGCAGCUCAAAUUGGGUGGUAAAUUCCAUCUAAAGCUAAAUAUUGGCGAGAGACCGAUAGCGAACAAGUACCGUGAGGGAAAGAUGAAAAGCACUUUGGAAAGAGAGUUAACAGUACGUGAAAUUGUUGGAAGGGAAACGCUUGAAGUCAGACUUGCUUGCCGGAGCUUGCUUCGGUUUGCAGGCCAGCAUCAGUUUUCCGGGGUGGAUAAUGACGGUUUGAAGGUAGCAGUCUCGGCUGUGUUAUAGCUUUCCGUUGGAUACGCCCUGGGGGACUGAGGAACGCAGCGUGCUUUUUGCGAAAGACUCGUCUUUUUCACGCUUAGGAUGCUGGUGGAAUGGCUUUAAACGACCCGUCUUGAAACACGGACCAAGGAGUCUAACAUGCUCGCGAGUAUUU
This 623-nucleotide ribosomal RNA is filed under the name Rhodotorula diobovata. RNAcentral describes it as "LSU rRNA". It matches the Rfam family "Eukaryotic large subunit ribosomal RNA", at positions 56 to 695 of the family's 3401-position model. Lineage: Eukaryota; Fungi; Basidiomycota; Microbotryomycetes; Sporidiobolales; Sporidiobolaceae. The record is from RNAcentral.